UUCUGUUAGGUACUGGGGCACGGGAGACGCAAAGGCUGCGUAACUUCCUGCCGCAAGUAAUGCAAAAUAAUUUUUUUUAAAGGCAAAGCAGAAUGUUACAGUGUUCAUCCGGUUAAGCGCAACACAAUUAGCCCGAUAGUCACAAUAAAUCCAGUCGCGUGGUGCACAGGAGGUUGCCGGGAAAAGAAUGCGGUCCGCGUGGUAGGACAGGGCUUGGUUUGGCACAAGGCCAUCUGAGGUCAAACCCGACCGGGGGGACCCCCCCCCCAGGACUGCACACCUACGGUGGGUUUGGGAGGAAAGUCUGAGGAAAAGAGAUUCAUUCACGGGAUCUCAGCUGGGCGGCUUGGGCCCUAUGCAGCGCUGCGUAUCGCCUUCCCAUGAUCCCCGGCUGCUUCGGAGAACGGGGUCUGGAUUACAUCAGAGCUUCCAACCCGCACAUCCAUCAAAAAUGUGAAACCCAUAGCCGGCAGCGAGCAGUUCGGUGUUCUAUAAAACCUCAUUCUCAUGAGGAAAAAAAAAACAUGAAAAAACUGCUUUCAGAGCAGAUGAAGAGCGAACUGAUGAUCCAUAAACGUGUCCCUCAACUACUGACGUCUGAGAGUCCAGCCAAGGUGUUUCAAAUUCAAAAUAAAUUACCAUAAAUUAAA
This is a long non-coding RNA of Anguilla rostrata (American eel), 650 nucleotides long. RefSeq lists it as uncharacterized. The record is from RefSeq and is a predicted model, not a curated record. NCBI's taxonomy places the organism in Eukaryota, Metazoa, Chordata, Actinopteri, Anguilliformes, Anguillidae. The transcript is spliced from 2 exons.